Molecule: ribosomal RNA, 1024 nt
Filed under: Cordyceps farinosa
Lineage: Eukaryota; Fungi; Ascomycota; Sordariomycetes; Hypocreales; Cordycipitaceae
Description: SSU rRNA
Rfam family: Eukaryotic small subunit ribosomal RNA
Source: RNAcentral
UACAGCGAAACUGCGAAUGGCUCAUUAUAUAAGUUAUCGUUUAUUUGAUAGUACCUUACUACUUGGAUAACCGUGGUAAUUCUAGAGCUAAUACAUGCUAAAAAUCCCGACUUCGGAAGGGAUGUAUUUAUUAGAUUAAAAACCAAUGCCCUCUGGGCUCCUUGGUGAUUCAUAAUAACUUUUCGAAUCGCAUGGCCUUGCGCCGGCGAUGGUUCAUUCAAAUUUCUUCCCUAUCAACUUUCGAUGUUUGGGUAUUGGCCAAACAUGGUCGCAACGGGUAACGGAGGGUUAGGGCUCGACCCCGGAGAAGGAGCCUGAGAAACGGCUACUACAUCCAAGGAAGGCAGCAGGCGCGCAAAUUACCCAAUCCCGAUUCGGGGAGGUAGUGACAAUAAAUACUGAUACAGGGCUCUUUUGGGUCUUGUAAUUGGAAUGAGUACAAUUUAAAUCCCUUAACGAGGAACAAUUGGAGGGCAAGUCUGGUGCCAGCAGCCGCGGUAAUUCCAGCUCCAAUAGCGUAUAUUAAAGUUGUUGUGGUUAAAAAGCUCGUAGUUGAACCUUGGGCCUGGCUGGCCGGUCCGCCUCACCGCGUGUACUGGUCCGGCCGGGCCUUUCCCUCUGUGGAACCUCAUGCCCUUCACUGGGUGUGGCGGGGAAACAGGACUUUUACUUUGAAAAAAUUAGAGUGCUCCAGGCAGGCCUAUGCUCGAAUACAUUAGCAUGGAAUAAUGAAAUAGGACGUGUGGUUCUAUUUUGUUGGUUUCUAGGACCGCCGUAAUGAUUAAUAGGGACAGUCGGGGGCAUCAGUAUUCAAUUGUCAGAGGUGAAAUUCUUGGAUUUAUUGAAGACUAACUACUGCGAAAGCAUUUGCCAAGGAUGUUUUCAUUAAUCAGGAACGAAAGUUAGGGGAUCGAAGACGAUCAGAUACCGUCGUAGUCUUAACCAUAAACUAUGCCGACUAGGGAUCGGACGAUGUUAUUUUUUGACGCGUUCGGCACCUUACGAGAAAUCAAAGUGCUUGGGC